This is a long non-coding RNA of Panicum virgatum (switchgrass), 1090 nucleotides long. RefSeq lists it as uncharacterized. NCBI's taxonomy places the organism in Eukaryota, Viridiplantae, Streptophyta, Magnoliopsida, Poales, Poaceae. The transcript has 3 exons. The record is from RefSeq and is a predicted model, not a curated record.
UGGUGAUGAGCGGCCAAAGCCUCGUAAGAAGAUAGACUCUACUUCAGUAAAGGUGAAAACCGUAGUUCCAAAAAUUAAACUUCAUGAUCCUAAAUGGACUGAUGGAAGCAUUCCAUUGGAUGCACUUUCUGAUAAACUCUCAAAAAUUAGAAGGCUAUUGAGCGUAGAGAUGCAGCAGCAACUGCUGCUACUAGUGCUCUGCAAGAGGCGAUGCUCACUGAAUCAGUUGUCAGGAACCUAAGAUACUCUCAAGUGGAAGACAAUUGCUGAGUCUAUGGUGACCGUUGAGGCUGACGAUGCAUUCUUGGAGAAAUUAUCUCAUGAUUGGGCUCAUGCUGCCUUAGCCGCUGAUCUCGAAGUCCUCAAGCUACUGAAUGGUGCCACUGAAUCCAUCUCUUGAAUGAAGAGCACAAAUAGGCCAAAGGCGCCUUCAGUGGAACCACCAAGAACAAGCCUGUCCAGGAAGCAGUCACUUGGAUCUUCUGCAAAGGUCCAGCCUAAGGUCUCACCGAGCUCUCCAGCAUGCUCCACAUGGAACAACACUGAGAGCAUGUAUCAGACAGUUGAGUUUGCAAAGACCUUGUGGCGCGAGAUGCAUAUGUGGUUCCUGAAUUUUGUGGAUGAGGCACUGGAUGUGGGCUUCCACUUGUUUGAAGACGAAUAUGGCAAGUAAGGGAAAGAACAACAGCCAUAUAACAGUGGUUCUUUCACAAUUCAAGAAGAUCAGUGACUGGUUGGAUGGAGUUGGGAAGAUUGCUGAGGAGGAGAAAACAAAGGAGAAGAUUGAGUGCUUGAAGCGCAAGAUUUAUGGGUUUGUCAUUAGCCACAUGGGGUCUGCAUUUGAGAGCUCUGUCUCAGUUUCAUAUAGGAGUUGAGGGAUGCUUCAUGCUCUGAAGCUGUCUUCGAUUGCCAUUUUUUUCCUUUGGAUUAAGGUUAUCCAAUUCUACAGUGAAGUGGUGUGGGCUACAAUUGCAGUAGUGGUGUGUCUUUUUUUUUUAAUUUAUGACUUAAAGUCUGUGAAUAUGCAUUGUUUUGUGGUUAUGAUCUGAAAAUUACCGGUUAUGAAGAUAAUCAUGCCAUUACCGUUUCA